This 450-nucleotide ribosomal RNA is filed under the name uncultured bacterium. RNAcentral describes it as "bacterial SSU rRNA". It matches the Rfam family "Bacterial small subunit ribosomal RNA", at positions 335 to 802 of the family's 1533-position model. The record is from RNAcentral.
ACUCCUACGGGAGGCAGCAGUGGGGAAUAUUGCGCAAUGGGGGAAACCCUGACGCAGCAACGCCGCGUGAAUGAUGAAGGCCUUCGGGUUGUAAAGUUCUGUCUUCUGGGACGAUAAUGACGGUACCAGAGGAGGAAGCCACGGCUAACUACGUGCCAGCAGCCGCGGUAAUACGUAGGUGGCAAGCGUUGUCCGGAUUUACUGGGCGUAAAGGAUGCGUAGGCGGACAUUUAAGUCAGAUGUGAAAUACCCGAGCUUAACUUGGGUGCUGCAUUUGAAACUGGGUGUCUAGAGUGCAGGAGAGGUAAGUGGAAUUCCUAGUGUAGCGGUGAAAUGCGUAGAGAUUAGGAAGAACACCAGUGGCGAAGGCGACUUACUGGACUGUAACUGACGCUGAGGCAUGAAAGCGUGGGGAGCAAACAGGAUUAGAUACCCUGGUAGUCCACGCCG